UGAGCCAGAGGCAUUAAUUGGUAUCCAGAAUUGGGCUACAGUAGUUUUCUCUCCCUUGUUUACUGAUGAAAACCAGAGUUUAGAUGAUAGUGGAAUAAUUGGACAUUUUUCAUGGAUUACUGGGCUUGUAUAUCAAGCUGAAGGUCAGCAUGAAAAAGCUGCGGCUCACUUUAUUCAUUUGUUACAGACUGAAAACUCACUCACUUCUAUGUGUUCUGAUGGUGUACAGUUUACCAUUGCACGUAUUAUUGAGAGUUACUCGGCAGUUUCUGAUUGGAAGGCUCUGGAAUCCUGGCUGUUGGAAUUGCAAAUGCUCCGUGCUAAGCAUGCUGGAAAAAGUUUUUCUGGUGCUCUAACAACUGCUGGCAAUGAAGUAAAUUCCAUUCAAGCCUUGGCACGCUUUGAUGAGGGUGAAUUUCAGGCAGCAUGGGCUUGUCUUGAUUUGACCCCUAAAAGUAGCAGCGAACUCACUCUGGAUCCCAAGUUGGCCUUGCAAAGGAGUGAACAAAUGCUGUUGCAAGCUAUGCUUCAUCAAGUUGAGGGAAGAAUAGAGAGGGUAACAGAGGAAUUGCAGAAGGCCAAGGGGAUGCUGAUGGAACCAUUGUCUGUCUUGCCUUUGGAUGGACUUGUAGAGGCAGCAUCACAUGUCAACCAGUUAUACUGCAUCUCUGCAUUUGAAGAAUGUUACAACCUCAAUAUAAGCCAAGACAAGCAUUUUCCAUCGCUAUUAAGCUCUCAUAUGCAAGCGAUGAAGUCUCCGAUUAUCAAAGUUCGCCAAGAUUGUAGUAUAUGGUUGAAGGUCCUACGAAUAUGUCAAACGGCUUACCCCACAUCACCUAUGACUCUCAAACUUUGCAGGAAUUUGAUGAGCUUAGCUCGUAAGCAAAAAAACUUCCGUUUGGCAAAUCGUCUUGACAAUUAUCUCAAAGAACAUCUUUCUAGUUNUGAAGGUCCUACAAAUAUGUCAAACGGCUUACCCCACAUCACCUAUGACUCUCAAACUUUGCAGGAAUUUGAUGAGCUUAGCUCGUAAGCAAAAAAACUUCCGUUUGGCAAAUCGUCUUGACAAUUAUCUCAAAGAACAUCUUUCUAGUUCCCUGAUGGAAGUACCCGUGACAAUAUAAUUCUUAGCUUGGAGUAUGAGAGAGUACUGUUGAUGCAUGCUGAAGACAAAUUUGAAGAUGCUUUAACCAGUCUUUGGUCAUAUAUCCGUUCUUCCAUGAUUUCAUCUUCAUUUGUAGCGUCUGACGCCAUUGAUAGAGUUCUGAAGGCAAAGGCAUGCCUGAAACUAUCGAAUUGGUUGCAAGAAGAUUAUUCAAAUUCAGGGAUGAAAGACAUAGUCCUCAAAAUAAGAUGUGAUUUCAGCACCUCACCCGGCAGAGAGGAAUCUAGCUUUAUUCUUGAUAAUCUGGCUUCUAAGGAGAAUGUGAAGGCUACUAUUGAGGAACUGGUGGGCACUGCAACAAAGUUGUCGUCCCAACUCUGUCCCACUUUAGGGAAAUCUUGGAUUUCAUAUGCUUCUUGGUGUUAUAAUCAAGCUAGAUCAUCAUUGCGUGCCCCUUGUGAAGCUACCCUUUUUUCUUGCUCAUUUUCUGCUGUUCUUGAUUCUGAAAUCCAACCAACAAGAUUUAAGCUAACUGAGGAAGAAGUUCUGAAAGUGAAAGACAUUAUCUCAAAGCUUCUCCAGAGCAAAUAUUGUGGCAAAGUGUUGAAUGAAGAUGGAGAUUCUGAUGUUUGCUGCUCUGAAUCUUCUGAAAGCAUGCAAAGUGAUGGCAUUGCUAGCUCUCUGUUGCAGGAGGUAGUAGAUACUAUCGAAGCUGAAGCUGGAGCCCCUGGAGUAGAAGAUUAUAAUGGCGAAUUCUUUCCCAAUACAUUGACAUCUAAGUUGCAGCAAUGUUUAUUAAAAGCAAAUGUUGUUCUAGAAGAAGCUACUGUCAUAUCCUUAGUUGGUGAUUUAGUUAAUAUCUGGUGGUCUUUGCGGCGUAGAAGGGUCUCUCUCUUUGGCCAUGCUGCUCAAGCUUUUGUGAAUUUUCUUUCAUAUGCAUCUUCCAGAUCUUUAGAUGGCCAAUUAACCGGCUGUAGUGAGGAGUCAAAAUAUAAGUCUGUGAACUAUACACUUAGAUCCACACUUUAUGUGUUGCAUAUUCUUCUCAAUUAUGGGGUUGAGCUGAAAGACACACUUGAACCUGCACUUUCAGCAGUUCCUUUGCUACCAUGGCAGGU
RNAcentral lists this long non-coding RNA (2223 nucleotides) under Nicotiana tabacum (common tobacco). RNAcentral describes it as "long non-coding RNA (NTAB_LNC012539)". Lineage: Eukaryota; Viridiplantae; Streptophyta; Magnoliopsida; Solanales; Solanaceae. The record is from RNAcentral.